RNAcentral lists this ribosomal RNA (470 nucleotides) under uncultured bacterium. RNAcentral's name for it is "partial 16S ribosomal RNA". It matches the Rfam family "Bacterial small subunit ribosomal RNA", at positions 28 to 507 of the family's 1533-position model. The record is from RNAcentral.
GACGAACGCUGGCGGCGUGCUUAACACAUGCAAGUCGAACGCUGAAGCACCAGCUUGCUGGUGUGGAUGAGUGGCGAACGGGUGAGUAAUACGUGAGUAACCUGCCCUUGACUCUGGGAUAAGCCCGGGAAACUGGGUCUAAUACUGGAUGCUACAUGUCACCGCAUGGUGGUGUGUGGAAAGGGUUUACUGGUCUUGGAUGGGCUCACGGCCUAUCAGCUUGUUGGUGAGGUAAUGGCUCACCAAGGCGACGACGGGUAGCCGGCCUGAGAGGGUGACCGGCCACACUGGGACUGAGACACGGCCCAGACUCCUACGGGAGGCAGCAGUGGGGAAUAUUGCACAAUGGGCGAAAGCCUGAUGCAGCGACGCCGCGUGAGGGAUGACGGCCUUCGGGUUGUAAACCUCUUUCAGCAGGGAAGAAGCCACAAGCGACGGUACCUGCAGAAGAAGCGCCGGCUAACUACGUG